UCCCUGGUGGUCCAGUGGCUAAGACUCCGCAUUCCCAAUGCACGGGGUCUGGGUUCAAUCCCUGGUCAGGGAA
This is a non-coding RNA of Bos taurus (domestic cattle), 73 nucleotides long. Lineage: Eukaryota; Metazoa; Chordata; Mammalia; Artiodactyla; Bovidae. The record is from Rfam.